This 76-nucleotide transfer RNA is filed under the name Spirochaetota bacterium. Its description in RNAcentral is "Spirochaetes bacterium tRNA-Ala". It matches the Rfam family "tRNA". From Rfam's summary of the family: Transfer RNA (tRNA) molecules are approximately 80 nucleotides in length. Lineage: Bacteria; Pseudomonadati; Spirochaetota. The record is from RNAcentral.
GGGGGAUUAGCUCAGUUGGUAGAGCGAUAGGUUCGCAAUCUAUAGGUCGUGGGUUCGACUCCCAUAUCCUCCAUCA